AAAGGGCUCCAACUGCACCAACGAAAGGAAGACAGAAAAGGGGCAACAUCUACAGAGAACGGUCUGAUCAACACUGUGCUGUGGUUAUUAAUGACAGGCUUUAAUCCUAUACAAAGAGCGCGCGCACACACACACACACACACACACACACACACACACUGGAUUAAAUAAAACACACACACACACACACACACACACACACAC
This is a long non-coding RNA of Perognathus longimembris pacificus (Pacific pocket mouse), 204 nucleotides long. RefSeq lists it as uncharacterized. NCBI's taxonomy places the organism in Eukaryota, Metazoa, Chordata, Mammalia, Rodentia, Heteromyidae. The transcript is spliced from 3 exons. The record is from RefSeq and is a predicted model, not a curated record.